RNAcentral lists this ribosomal RNA (750 nucleotides) under uncultured bacterium. Its description in RNAcentral is "bacterial SSU rRNA". It matches the Rfam family "Bacterial small subunit ribosomal RNA", at positions 61 to 810 of the family's 1533-position model. The record is from RNAcentral.
GUCGAACGGUAGAGGGGGCAACCCCUCGAGAGUGGCGAACGGGUGAGUAAUAUAUCGGAACGUGCCCAGUCGUGGGGGAUAACGUAGCGAAAGUUACGCUAAUACCGCAUACGAUCUACGGAUGAAAGCGGGGGAUCGCAAGACCUCGCGCGAUUGGAGCGGCCGAUAUCAGAUUAGGUAGUUGGUGAGGUAAAGGCUCACCAAGCCAACGAUCUGUAGCUGGUCUGAGAGGACGACCAGCCACACUGGAACUGAGACACGGUCCAGACUCCUACGGGAGGCAGCAGUGGGGAAUUUUGGACAAUGGACGCAAGUCUGAUCCAGCCAUUCCGCGUGCAGGAUGAAGGCCCUCGGGUUGUAAACUGCUUUUGUACGGAACGAAAAGGUCUCUAUUAAUACUAGGGGCUCAUGACGGUACCGUAAGAAUAAGCACCGGCUAACUACGUGCCAGCAGCCGCGGUAAUACGUAGGGUGCAAGCGUUAAUCGGAAUUACUGGGCGUAAAGCGUGCGCAGGCGGUUAUGUAAGACAGAGGUGAAAUCCCCGGGCUCAACCUGGGAACUGCCUUUGUGACUGCAUAGCUAGAGUACGGUAGAGGGGGAUGGAAUUCCGCGUGUAGCAGUGAAAUGCGUAGAUAUGCGGAGGAACACCGAUGGCGAAGGCAAUCCCCUGGACCUGUACUGACGCUCAUGCACGAAAGCGUGGGGAGCAAACAGGAUUAGAUACCCUGGUAGUCCACGCCCUAAACGAU